UUUAUUAUAAAAUUAUGUAACUUUGUUUCUUGCUGACUUUAAUGAUUAGGAGGCUGAUUUGUCAUUGUAAUUUCACAAGUAAAAUCACACAUUAGUUAUACUCCAUAGACCGAUAAUGAACCUCUAGUCUCAAAACACACAAAAAUGAUGGGGCCAAAACUCUUUAUUUCAUCAUGUGCGGAAUAAAAAGAUAAAAAUGAUUAUUGUAUCCACUUGUGUUUUCUUUUUGAACUGAUGCAGAUGAUAACAAAUAAUGAUGUUGAAAGGCAGUGAGAAAAUUAGUUUUAAAGAAUUUAAAAUCAAGUGUAACAUCCCAACACUAACACAUGCAAAAUUUACAGAACCCCGCACAUGAAAAAUAAAAUAAAACUAUAUAUAUAACGUGUUAACCUGCCCAGCCCAUAUAUAUAUAUAUAUAUAUAUAUAUAUAUAUAUAUAUAUAUAUAUAUAUAUAUAUAUAUAUAUAUAUAUAUAUAUAUAUGGGCUGGGCAGGUUAACGCGUUAUUAUCACAUUUUAUUAUUAUUAUCAUUACUAUUAUAAAAAGUCCUUUGCUCACUGGCUCUGAAUACACAUACAGACAAACCAUGGGUCACAGGAGGGUGGGAUGUUGAUCACUACUGGCUUGGGAUGAGCGUCAUCACACAUCUCAACCAAUGACAGCAUUUGGGGUGGGCCUAAGACUCACAUGAGUGCUCAUCCCGAUUAAAUUAUUUAGGCUAAGCAUCAACAUUCACAAACCACUGUUCACUAUUAUUUUUGACAGGUUAGAAUGCAACAAGCUUGUAAUCACGACUUCAUAAGUGAAAUAGAAAGUUUCUGAAAGCACGCGAAGACAAUGCGCACUGUGUCCUGCGAAGCACUCUGUUGUAAGGCCCCUGUUAUAAUGUUAUGAUCGAGGCUCUGGACUCUGAGCAUAACUUGUUUUUCUAUAACAAACUAUCAAAUAUUUUCUAUAAAAACGUCAAUGCCCUGGCAGUGACAAAUAGCUUUGGUUUUAUUUUUAAUUUGAUUACAUUAAUGUUUUAAGUUGAGAUUUACUAUUAAUAUAUAACUAAUAGGCCUACUAGGCUAUGUAAAAAGAAUACUGUGGUAAAAAAUACAUUAUUUGUUUAAAGUGUUUGCAAACAAAAUGUUAUUGCACUUUUGUUCAUAUUGAUGAAAUGAAAAAAGUUGAUAUUUUUCCCAUAUUUCAUGUGUGGGGCUCUGUACAAAAAUGGUGCAUUCUUCAGACAAUUAAAAACAAAUUUUGCAACUGAAAUUGAUCAAUUGAAAUAAAAAAAUAUCAUUACUCAAAGACUGACAUAAGCAGUUGCUUAUGGUCCAUAGUGCUUCAAUAUAAGGUUAAAAAAUAAAAUAAAAAAAAUAAUACACACCACUUUCUUGUCAUUAGCGGUCCAGUUCUUCAUGGCGAUUGUCUACAGUAUGUGUUGACAUGCCGCAGCUCUUGAGAAUCUGCCCGACACUUUCUUAAAUAUCUCACACAAUUUUCAUUAUUGUGCAAAACAUUACACAUACUGGAGUUACAUGAAUGUAAAUACAUCGUGAUACCAAUUAUAAGCUUCAGUAACAAAACUAAUGUGACUUUUCAGGUAAAUUAACAUGAAAAAAUAUACACAAAUUCAGUGUCUCAGUGUUUUCACUUCCACAUGUUGUCAUAUUUAAAGGGACAGUUCACUCAAAAAUUUAACCCACUCAACCCUGUAUGACUCUCUUUCUUCUGUGGAACAUUUCAAGACAUGUUUUUUUUUUCGUUUGUUUUUUUUUUUCCAUACAGUGCAAGUCAAUGGUAACCAAAACUGUUUGGUUAUUAACAUUCAUCAGAGCAUCAUUUUUGUGUUCCACAGAAAAAAGUAAAUCAUACAGGUUUGGAAGGACAUGAAGCAGGCUCAGUAAAUAAUAGGGCUGGGACAAUAAAUCGAUGCAGAAUCGAUUCAUGGAUGGAUUCUGAGAUCUUCUCUCUGGAAUCGACUCUGAGAUUAGAUUUUAACAGCAGAUGGCGCUCUAAUCUAGUAGGGCAAUCUCGAUUAGGCAAACGCUGCGAUUGUCAUGUGCAUUUUGUCAGUGAAGCACGGUUCUGUGAUUAGUAGUAAAUCUCCAUCUGAAGGCCAGAGAAACUCCAAAUACGCCUCGCAGAAGAACUCCAGUAAGUCCCUAUAGUGUCAACUGAAUAAACAAAAAAUUUAACUGCUUUCAUUGAUUCAGCGUGACUAAUAAACACACAACUAUGACAAUAUAGGAUUUAUCUGAGAUCUUAUUAUAAUUAUUAUUAUAAUUUUCAUUAUAAUAAAGUAUAUAAUAAUGCAAUGGCUUUAUCACUGCUUAGAAUAUGAUGAAAUAUGUUGCGUGCCUUAUUCUAUAUAAGAAGCCACAUCAUCUCACAGAAGGAUUUAUUUCAAACACUCGUCUGGCGUUAUGAAGUGAGUUUGGAGUAAAAACGUUAUUAAUUGUGAUAUUUUCACACGCUUUCAGAUGGAGCAACAUUUACUACAACCAGCCGUAGUUCACUGAGAAGCUACACAAACAGCUUUCAUCAUCACGGAACGAUUUCUUCGAUUUCAUAAUCGUGUGAUUAUAUCGUCUGCGAUUUAUAUUUUAUUGCAUAGCUUGUAAGAGAUCUACAGCUCUGUGUAGUAAAUACAGCUCCAUCUGAAAGCAUGUGAUGGAGAUGUUAUACUGAUUACAGAACCAGCUUUACUGACGAGAUAUGCAUGACAAUCACAUUCGAUUAAUCGUGCAGCCCUAUAAUCUAGUUUUAAUCUGCACACUCAAAUGCUCAUGAUGGUUCAUGUGUGUGAUUUGGAAACAAGCAGAGAACGGCUGUUUCUAAAGCAUGCAGCACCAUCUGCUGUUCAAAACUAAGUUCAGAAUCAACUCAAAUAGAAUUGCGAUGCAUUCAGAAAAUUUCAGAAUCUAUGCCGAAUUACGAUUCACGAUGCAUUGAUUUAUUUUCCCAGCCCUAGUAAAUAAUUUCAUUUUGGCCUGAACUAUCCCUUUAACUCACAUUAGCUUUCAUAAACAACUGCAAAGUUCAAUAGCUCUCGAAGGGGAUGUUACCAGUCUGUAUUAUUUUCUGAAGUGUCCCAAUAUGAGCUCAGGGUUCUGCUUGGACCUUCAGCAGGGUUUUGAGGUGCACAGACAUCUGUACGGCUGUAUGCUGAAGAGCACCUUCUCCCACCCAAUGGCUGGGCGGUUUGGGGAGGACGCUGGGCGAGGGCGGCUCGCUGAACUUUGCUCCUGCGUACGUCUUUUCUGCCUCCGAUGAGAGCUCAGGAGGGCACACGCUCACCCUCCUGAGGCCCUCAGCAGUGCUCUUCCCCAUGUGUGUGGGGGUCUCCUGUCUUUUGGGAAGCUGAGAGUCGUCGGAUGAGUUUCUUUGCUUGCUCCACUGUCUCCGUUUGUUCAGGUUGUCAGUGGUUUUCUCAAGACGGCUCGAGUUGUGGACAGAUGGUCUGCUGGGCUGGAUUCCUCGUUCAACACUUUCAGUUUUUAACUUCAGCUGCUGAAGACAAACGGGAAACACUUAGGAUCAUGUAAGAUGGUCAGACCACACUGCUGAUGUUCUCUCUGGCCUCUACGUCUCACACUGUGACCAGAACGCCAAAACAUGUGAUCAUUUCAUUUGUGGUGUUUAGUAACGGAUGAGUUCGCGACACUUCUUCAUGAAGCUUUGAAUCUUUUCAGAAUCAUUGGUUUUGAAUCU
This is a long non-coding RNA of Cyprinus carpio carpio, 3701 nucleotides long. The record is from Ensembl. NCBI's taxonomy places the organism in Eukaryota, Metazoa, Chordata, Actinopteri, Cypriniformes, Cyprinidae.